Molecule: transfer RNA, 91 nt
Filed under: Rhodocyclaceae bacterium
Lineage: Bacteria; Pseudomonadati; Pseudomonadota; Betaproteobacteria; Rhodocyclales; Rhodocyclaceae
Description: tRNA-Thr
Source: RNAcentral
ACGCCGGUGGUCGGCCUGGUGCGGCCGCCAUUCGUGCUGGCGCCGGACAGUUUCGAGGUGGCCGAAGUGUUCGAAACCCCGCUCGCCUUCC